GAUGAGGGAGACGGUGGUUAUGAUGAAUGAUUGGUGUUAAUGGAACAUGUGCUCUUAGGUUCAGCAGAGGUUUACAUUUAUCUGAUGCUUUUCUACAAAAAUAACUUACAAUUCUUUGCCCAUUUAUACAGCUGGGUACUUUACAGGAACAAUUCUGGCAAAGUAUCCUGCUCAGAGGCAGUAAAGCUGGGGGUGGGAUUUAACCCUGCAACCUGUGAGUCCACAGACAGCAGAUCUAACCACUGUGCUCCCAGCUGCCUCUAUGUUCAUGCGGUGGUACUUGGUAUGAAAACAUCUCUGUUUUAUUACCGCAGUGUUUUUUGUGGUGUAGUUAGUCAAAGGUUUUCCGUGCCUUUACAAGCGCUGGGCGGCAACGGGAUCGCCGACCGACUCUGAGCGAGCGGCUGAUGCAACGGGCAGACACAUCUCGAAACCACCCGAGAAACCGCACUCCUUCGCACGUGGCCCGAGGUUACCUUCCCGUGCCUGGAGACGUUCCCAUCAGAGAUGUUCUCAUCAGACACCUUGUUUCAUCAGCUCAGCAUCACUUUCCACGUGCUUGUGAUGAUGGCCUGAGAUGAAGGAACCGAAUGCAGCCCGCGUGUGUGCAUCGUCUCUGUCCUGGGGGGGCGGCGCCGGAGAUGGAGCGCAGCGCUCUGCUCGACGCCUCGGGUGUGUCGCCGGAUGAGGAACUGUCCGUAAAAGACGUCCGCCGUGUUUUCCACAAGGUGCUUCACGUGUCCGUGAGCCCACGGGAUGUGGAGAAAGCCAUCAGAAAGGUAACUGGGGACACCCACGGCCCUGUUUGCGGCGCGGGGAAGCUGCUGGACGUCCUUGCCGAGAUUGAGAAUGAGCGUGUCACCAGCGAGGAGCUCUACUGGGAUUUCCAAAUGCUAAAUGCUGGGAGGCUUCGAACGCUGGAACAUUUGUAUGCAAAGGAUAUAAAGCUCUCAGUCAGGAGCUUUUCGCCCACAAUGCCUUGGAGCUCCCCAUGCCUUCAUGACCAAAGGCAGAAAAAUCAAGAAGCUCGGACGCGAAGCCUUUCCCAAGAACGUACGCACGGUGAAGAAGAUCUCUUGUUGGGCGUAAGUGGACUGCAGGGGGAGCGACUAAAGAAGAGGUUCUACGCGCGGAGGCUUAAGAAAGAUGUGAGGAGGCUGUGCAACAGGUAAAUUACAGCAGGCAGUAAUGAUGGGGCCCAAAGACUGUCUCGAGUCUCAAAUACUCGCAUAUAUAAAAUAUAUAAACAAUGUACACAGAUGGUGCUUCUGAGUUUUUGUUUUCUCUCUUUUUUUGUUGCUGCAGACAUGUAUUUGGAUUUUUUUUUUUUUUUUUUUUUUUUUUUUAAAAAAAAGGGUAUUCCUUUCUAAAUUGAGCAAUUUCAUUUCAUUUCAUCUGCAGGCACGGAUAUUCUGAAAAUCAUUUUAUUUUCAGCAAAGGCAGGCAGCAACGGUUUUGAAAAGACUGAUUAUGGACAUAUUCCCCAUCUUGUUCUCCUUUCAGAAUGAAAAGGGAAAUAAGCAGAAGUUUAUCCCAUUUGGUGUCCGUGCACAAGGAAAAUGUUCCCGCUCAGGAUCAGUUUCUCUAAAUCCGGCUUGCUGACAUUAAUGCUCAAAAUUCCAUUGAAUUAAUCAUGUGCGGUUUUUGUCUCUGACGAGAAUAAAACAAUUCUUGAGCUUCA
This is a long non-coding RNA of Scleropages formosus (Asian bonytongue), 1681 nucleotides long. The record is from Ensembl. NCBI's taxonomy places the organism in Eukaryota, Metazoa, Chordata, Actinopteri, Osteoglossiformes, Osteoglossidae.